This 478-nucleotide ribosomal RNA is filed under the name uncultured bacterium. RNAcentral describes it as "partial 16S ribosomal RNA". It matches the Rfam family "Bacterial small subunit ribosomal RNA", at positions 28 to 507 of the family's 1533-position model. The record is from RNAcentral.
GAUGAACGCUGGCGGCGUGCUUAACACAUGCAAGUCGAACGGGAAAUAUUUCAUUGAGACUUCGGUGGAUUUGAUUUAUUUCUAGUGGCGGACGGGUGAGUAACGCGUGGGUAACCUGCCUUAUACAGGGGGAUAACAGUCAGCAAUGGCUGCUAAUACCGCAUAAGCGCACAGAGCUGCAUGGCUCAGUGUGAAAAACUCCGGUGGUAUAAGAUGGACCCGCGUUGGAUUAGCUAGUUGGUGGGGUAACGGCCCACCAAGGCGACGAUCCAUAGCCGGCCUGAGAGGGUGAACGGCCACAUUGGGACUGAGACACGGCCCAGACUCCUACGGGAGGCAGCAGUGGGGAAUAUUGCACAAUGGGGGAAACCCUGAUGCAGCGACGCCGCGUGAAUGAAGAAGUAUCUCGGUAUGUAAACUUCUAUCAGCAGGGAAGAUAGUGACGGUACCUGACGAAGAAGCCCCGGCUAACUACGUG